This 301-nucleotide ribosomal RNA is filed under the name uncultured bacterium. RNAcentral's name for it is "partial 16S ribosomal RNA". It matches the Rfam family "Bacterial small subunit ribosomal RNA", at positions 509 to 807 of the family's 1533-position model. The record is from RNAcentral.
CAGCAGCCACGGGAAUACGUAGGGUGCAAGCGUUAAUCGGAAUUACUGGGCGUAAAGCGUGCGCAGGCGGUGUUGUAAGACUGAUGUGAAAUCCCCGGGCUCAACCUGGGAACUGCAUUGGUGACUGCAACGCUGGAGUGCGGCAGAGGGGGAUGGAAUUCCGCGUGUAGCAGUGAAAUGCGUAGAUAUGCGGAGGAACACCGAUGGCGAAGGCGGCCAUCUGGGACAACACUGACGAUGAGGCACGAAAGCGUGGGGAGCAAACAGGAUUAGAUACCCCAGUAGUCCCUGUCUCUUAUAC